RNAcentral lists this ribosomal RNA (434 nucleotides) under uncultured bacterium. Its description in RNAcentral is "bacterial SSU rRNA". It matches the Rfam family "Bacterial small subunit ribosomal RNA", at positions 958 to 1392 of the family's 1533-position model. The record is from RNAcentral.
AACGCGAAGAACCUUACCUACUCUUGACAUCCAGAGAACUUUCCAGAGAUGGAUUGGUGCCUUCGGGAACUCUGAGACAGGUGCUGCAUGGCUGUCGUCAGCUCGUGUUGUGAAAUGUUGGGUUAAGUCCCGCAACGAGCGCAACCCUUAUCCUUGUUUGCCAGCGAUUCGGUCGGGAACUCUAGGGAGACUGCCGGUGACAAACCGGAGGAAGGUGGGGAUGACGUCAAGUCAUCAUGGCCCUUAUGGGUAGGGCUACACACGUGCUACAAUGGCCGGUACAGAGGGCCGCAAACUCGCGAGAGUAAGCUAAUCCCUUAAAGCCGGUCCUAGUCCGGAUUGCAGUCUGCAACUCGACUGCAUGAAGCUGGAAUCGCUAGUAAUCGCGGAUCAGAAUGCCGCGGUGAAUUCGUUCCCGGGUCUUGUACACACCG